Molecule: long non-coding RNA, 4831 nt
Organism: Panthera uncia (snow leopard)
Lineage: Eukaryota; Metazoa; Chordata; Mammalia; Carnivora; Felidae
Exons: 2
Source: RefSeq, a predicted model, not a curated record
CGAUUCCUUUGUUGUAGUAGGUGCUCUCAUUUCUUCCAUCUGGUGACUCAUGUCUUUAAGUUCUAAAAACUUUGUGUGUGUGUGUGUGGUUUUUUGUUUUGUUUUGUUUUGUUGGUAUUUUUUUUCCUACUUCCCUCAGUCUUCUCUCUCAUGCUUUCUGGCAUGUCUGUGUUAGAUGUAGGUCAUCUAGUGCUUAUCCUCUAAUUUUUUUUGGUUUUCCACUUUCUUUCUUGACUUUUUGGUCUGCUUUCUGGGUGACAUUCAGCUCUUUUUUCCAUCACAGUUCUUAUUUGUUCUUAUCUUGCUGUCUUUUUUUAAUAGCAUCUUAUUUCAUUGAUAGAGUAUUUUUUUUUCUUUAUGAAGCAUCAGACGAAAGCACAUGAAAGAGAAUACAGUACAUGGAAUACAAUAAGACAUUUAAGAAUGCAUGUACAUUCAGUACUCCUUUCUUAGAAAGAAAAGAUAACACAGAUGGGCAUAUAUACACUUUUUUUUUUUUUUUUUGUUCUUCCACUGUCAUUGUAUAGGACUUCAGGAUGGAACUGGAAUAAACACAUGUGUUCUGUCUCCAUGUUUUUGUUUUCUGCCUCUUUCUUUCUAUGUACAACUCCUUGUCAUCCUUUAAGACAGUUCGGAUGUUUAUUUCCUUCAGGAUACUUUUUCCAGUCCUCUCUCCUAAGGCCAGUUUUAGUAUAAGAUAGUAUAUGUUUCCUUUCUAUUUUCCUCGAGUGCCUAUGAGGUAGUAGUGGUGGUGGUUAAAAGUGUAUGCUUUGGACAGAGACAAAUCUAGGCUUAGAUCCUGGGUCCAGUAUAGAGCUCACUGUGGCAUGUAUGACCCUAGUAUAGUUAUUUAACCCGAGUAUGUACUGUAGAUAUAAUAAAGAUACUUCUAAUAGCAGUGUAAAAGUAUAUGAGAAUGCAAUUAAAGGACGUGGCACACAGUAAGAAUUGUCAGCCAUGAUUGUUAGCCUGUGAAUUCCUUGGUGGCUGCUACUGUGUAUCUCUAGUGUCCUUUAAACAUAGGAGACUGUUAAUAUGUGCUUUUAACACAUAAAUACUUGCUGUAUAAAUGAGCAAACCAGAAUUCCACAAAUAACCAUCAAAGAACUUGUGCUGUCUUUGUCUAUAAAUUAAAAACAACUCCACACACAUUUACAGGCUUUUAUAAGGGAUGUUGGAUGCACUGCUUGUGCGUGAAUUUAUUAGUGAUUCAGUGUUUAUCAAACAAUUUCUGGAGAUUGAUUUAGAGCCUUUGAUGGAAGAGGAAUGAUUGAUAGACUAAGGGUAAGCUGUUCUAAGCAUUGAAAAGAGUUCAAAAUGUUGUAGAGGUGUACUUAUUUGUCUGACCCUGGAAAUAUGCAAUGUCUAGUCUAUGGUUAUAUAGGCCUGUAAGUAGCAUUCUUACCAGGGAUGAAAGAGAAUGGUGGUAUAGAUUUAGUGAUUUAAAAAAAAAAAAAAAAAAAGCUAUGCAAUACUUUGAAUUUCUUUAGCACUGUGUGGUUGAUUUCUGCACAUUACUAGUAGAAUUUCACUUAUUGGUCCAUUCAACAAGCAAUUGAGUGUUGCCUUUGUGUCAGACAUUUUCCCGGUACUAGAGAUAGAGCAAAGAGUAAGAUAGUGUUGGCCCUUAAGAAUUACAGCUUUGAGUGUGUAUGUGUAUGUGUUAGGAGCAGCAACGUAGACACCAAAGAAGUAAAGCGGGAUGAUAGGUAAAGAAUAUCAGGUGGAGUGGGGAACUAGAUUCUUUUAGGCCCUUCUGAAGGCAGGGUUAGUCCCUGAACCCAGGUCUCCUGACUCAUGGUUUAGUGUUCUUUCAUAACAUGCUAGUCUUUUGAGUAGAAUUUUUAGCAGACCAAAGUAAGUUUACAUGGAGGGUUAGUGUGAAUGAAGCCAACUCAAACAUUUUCUUCGGUGGAUUCUGUGGCCUGCAGAUAGGACAUUAUUCUCGAAUUCCAUAUCACAUAAGCUACCAUUAUUGCUAUUUAUUCUUAAGACAGAAUGAUUUUAAGAAAUAGUAUAGUAAUCUUCACAUGACUGCUUCCUUCUCAGUUUACAUUAUUGUGGGGCUUUGGAAAAAUUCAGGGCCUCAAAAUAGACAACCUGAGUUUCCAGUUUAAUUUUAUAUACAUACAGCUUUAACUAUAUGAAGACGAGGAUCCAGUUAGUAGCUCCCAAGUGCUUGGGUGCAUGUUAAUGGAAUUUACUCCCCAUAGUUUGAGGCACACAGUAAAAGUCAAUAGCUUUUGGUCAUGAGUCAGUAAUAAUCUUCCAUUUUGUGAACACUGGAAUAUAUUUUCUACUUUAGUAGUUGCUCUAAACUUUUGAAUGAAGUUAGGAAUAUAUUUUUGAGAAACAUUUUCUUUGGUACCUUAACUGCCACCAUAGAAUAGGUCCCAACUUGAAGUCUGUGUAAUAAAUUAUGAUAAAUGUUUGUAAUGAAUACUUGUAAUGCCCAAGACCUUAGGCAAAAGAAACUAUAUAGGUAAAAAUUUUGUAAUCCUUAGUUGACACAGACUUAUGUAUCUCUGUGUCUGUUCUAAGCACCCUUUGUGAAUGAACAUGUUAUCUUUUUGGAGUACCUAAAUUUACAGAGGACCUAAUGCAACAGUCAUUUUGAAGCCUUUAAAAAUGAAUAGAACAUGUGUUUUUCCUUAUAGUGUGGGUAGGUGGUGAUGAGUGGCAUUCUUACUUUUUCCCAAGUUUGAUAACCCCUCUGAGAGGUGGACAGAGGAGUCGACAGAGCUAAGAGUGUCAGCUUUGUCCUUCCUGUGUUUAUUCCUGAUUCACCAUUAUAGCUGGACACUGACAGCUCGACAGCUCCAAGCAUCCCUCAGAGGAGCCACCCCCAGGUGGCUUUGAGCUGAGGACAGGCAUAUACAGUUCUUUCUCUCAAAUUCUCCCUUGUGAGGAGAGUGUGUGAAGGCUGCUAAGAGAAGCUAGUAGUUCAGUGGUUCUCAACAUUCUGUAGGCAUCAGAAUCAUCUAGAGAGCUUUAAAAAGCGUAGGCACCCCUGGGUUGCUCGGUUGGUUGGGCGUCAGACUCUUGAUUUCGGCUCAAGUCAUGACCUCAUCGUUCGUGGGAUUGAACCCCAUGUCAGGCUCUGCACUGUCAAGCGCAGACCCUGCUUGGGAUUCUCUCCCUAUCCCUCCCCGACUCGUGUGCAUGUGCGCGCUCUCCCUCCCUCCCCCUGCCCCCAAAACAAAUUAAUUUUAAAAAAUACAGAUACUUGGGUCCAGUGCCUGGAAUUUUAGAUUUAAUUUGUUGGGACGGUAUUUCUAUAAAAGUUUCCUGGAGCAGUCUAAUUGUGUAGCCAGAGUUCCAGUGGAAGUCCUACACAGGAAAGGGACUGGGGGAAUAGAGAAUGCCACCUGCAUUUAUGUGUGUGUCCCUAAAGUAGUACUCCUUCCCAAAUAAUGCCACCAUUCACCAUUUCCUGUGUAGUACAGGAGAUUAAAUUGCUCUGGAGUCAGUCUAUCUGAAAGCAUCAUAACCUUAAAAAUGGAGAUGAUAGUAUUUAAUUAAUAGAGUUGUUUUGAAGCUCAAAUAAAGUAAUGUGUUUGAAAUGCCUAGUGUGAUACCUGGCACACAGGAUAAGUGCACAUCUAAUUAGGACAUCUUUAUUAAAUAAUUUGUCAGCACGCAUGGGGUGUUGAAUAAUUAUUUCUAAAAAAUCUACAUUCAUAUAGAUUGCUCUUUAUCUGUGUGGUUCAUAUUUGUCAUUUUUAAUCACACCUGAAUAUUAAAUCUUGACCCUUCUUCAGUUGUAUAGCAUGUGGGUUAUUUCUCGUUUUCCACAAAUAAUUGCUAGAACUGACAAUUACGUGGAAGGAGGAGUUCUUUGAUUUUUUUGGAGUACAGUUGCUUAAAAAAAUGGAAUUACCAGCUCGUAUAGGUAUGGUCAAUAUUAUGAGGUUACUAUAAAGUGGAGGUAUCAUGUGAUAAACCAUUGAGGAUGUGUAGAUUUGCCAUUUGCCCACUUAACCAAGGUGACUGAAUAAGGGAAUGUUGUGCCUUGCCAAGAAGUACUUGAUGGACUAGAAAGUGAGGGAUUGUCAGGGAACAGGACAUGUUCUAGGCCUUAGAUUCAUAUAGCAAGAAAAGGUAUUCAGGGCUGAAAAACAGUUUACAUUUGUAGAGAACAAUUUUGGUACAGCAUUGAUGCUGUUUCAAGAAUGACAAUGAUCUAAUAUUUACCUUUCCUUUUUUAAAAAUAACAAUACGUAAGUAGAUAUUACAUUUGGCCAUUAGCCAAGUUGGUUUUGCAUUUAUAUAAGAAUAUGAAUAAUGGGCAUUGUCUUUAGACAUAAGUUUUUUCAGAGGUGUUUUUAUAUAGCUGAGUAAUUACUAACCUUUUUUCCCUUAAGUAGGGAUGGCAAGUGAGAGGUUAGAAUUGUUCUUAUGAAUACUCUCGAUAAAGGAACUUUAGAUGACUUCAUUUUAUAUGCAGAAGCUUUGCAGAAAUGAAGAUUAUCAGGAAGUAUAUUCCUGCCAGAAAUGUAAUGUCCAAGUUACUUAGUCUGCCACUUGGCUGAUGAGAUCAGACAAGCCUGGUAGGUGUUUAAAAAACAAAACAUACAUAUACAUAAUAAAUGUGUGUGUAUGUGUGUAUGUACAUGAGUUUAUAUAAGUUAUUACUUAUUUCUGAGGGACCAGGAUCUAUUCUUAAAGCUAGAUGUAAGUCAGAUUUUGGAGAAUAAUUAAAUACCAGUCUGUUCCUUCCUAGUUCUUUCUUGCCACGUGAAGUCAAUCAGCUUCAAAGCAAUCACCACUUCCACUCCAUACUAAUAACUCUUCUUUUGGUUUUUUUUUUUUUUUUUUUUUUUUUUUUUUU